This 5707-nucleotide long non-coding RNA is filed under the name Mytilus galloprovincialis (Mediterranean mussel). The record is from RNAcentral. Lineage: Eukaryota; Metazoa; Mollusca; Bivalvia; Mytilida; Mytilidae.
CUUGAUCACAUUUUUUCAGUUCUCAUUUAUCAAGUACAGAAUAUUUCAUAUGCCAUACAGGUACACGUAUUUUGUAAACUAGUUUAUAAUGCUUUGAUGUGCAUUGUUAUACUAACCUUUUCCAUUAGUCUAUGUUUUAAUUGUAAUAUUUAUUUUAUUAUUUUUUUUUUUAGGCCAAUUAACAUAUAAUUGCUAGAUUUCAUCCCCGCCGCCCCUCUAAAUCGUCCCGCCCGAUUUUUUUUAUUUAACAAAAAUACGAUUCCGAUUUGUCAUGUCCGUUACCAGGAACCUAUCGAUAAUUUCGUUUCAUUCGAAACUUCCUUUUCAGAAUUUCUUUUUUGGUAUUGUCUUUCGCCGAGUAAUCCAUCGAAAAUGAUUAAGUCGAAAUUAUUCUGCUGCGUCUAUAGAUGACAAUUCUCAUUACCGAGAAUAGAACUGAUAACGGAAGGGGGCAUAAAUAUUCGAGUUCGAGUAAAAACGCUUGUCCUUGAACGCAAAUAAUUGCGGUAGUCGACGGUAAGUCACAAGUAAAUCGAAAAUUCGUGUUUUUUUCUUAUUUAUACGAAUGACUUUGUGUCGAGGAGAUUUGGACCUGUGUUAUCCAAAGCGCAAGAAUCGUUAGAACAAUUGUACAAAACAUGACUGGAAUAAAGAAAAUGACACAACACUAACUUGUUUGAAAUUAUGACGUAUGAUUGGAAAAAAAAAUGUCGGACAUCACGCAUGUUUAAUUAAACAAGCCCUUCUAUUCACCCAUGCUUUUUUUGUUGACAAACAAGCAAACAACCCUCGGUUACUGUUCCCUACCAUCAAUUUAUCAUUAAGCCACAACUAAUUGUUUGUUAAGUUCAAUGUUUUACAUCAUGAUUCUUUCAACACUGAGUUUUACAUUUAUUCUUACUCGUAAUAUUUGUUUGUUGCAUACAAUUGAUUACCAAAACCUUUAAUUGAUUUUAUGACGAUACAAACCAUUGCUACAAGCAAAAUCGAUGUGGUAGUAUACUAGUAGUUAACUGAAAACUGAAGAGAGCAUUUCUCUUCUUUUGAUGUCUACUAUAAAUAGGCUUUCUAAAGCAGCCAAUUGCAUGUUAACCAGUGGUCUUGCCAAUCAGGAUUUUUAUUUAAGAGUUUGAAAAAUAGUGUAGGAUUCCUUAUACAGUAUGUAAUACAAUUAUACAAGCUUGGUUUGCCCACUAGCAUAUACCCCGCAUUAUGAAAAACUUCAUGACGAGUUUUCAUAUGAAAUAAAAUUUAAAAAUAAAAUUCCUCCACCCGCCCCAUUUUUUUCAAAAUUUGGAUGAAAAUCUACUAAUUAAUUUUAGUUGGCCUUAUCUACAAUUUGGAAAUUAGUAUGGCGUUCAUUAUCACUGAACUAGUAUAUCUUUGUUUAGGGGCCAGCUGAAGGACGCCUCCGGGUGCGGGAAUUUCUCGCUACAUUUAAGACCUGUUGGUGACCUUCUGCUGUUGUUUUUUUCUAUGGUCGGGUUGUUGUCUCUUUGGCACAUUUCCCAUUUCCAUUCUCAAUUUUAUUAGUAAGAAGCAUUCACGCACUGACUGUCCAUCGUUCAAUUCUUAAUAUCGUCUCCUAGGAGACGAUAUAAUAAUUUGAUUAUAUAAAGAUGAUGCCUUUUGUUCUCUCACUAAAUAAUUGAAUAAUUGGUGACCAUGUUGAAUGCGUCCAUCCGCCAUCGAACUUUAGAUGAUGGCGCAUUGGCGGAUCCAAGGUGGGGGUGCUGGGGUUGAAACCCCUUUUUUGGCCGAUCAAUGCAUUUGAAUGGGGAUAUAUAGCUGGAACACCCCCUUUUUAUCCUAGUUUGGGAACCCCCUUUUUUAAAAGGCUGGAUCCGCCCCUGUAGCGGAUAUGUUCCCAUUUUUCGUAACUACAAACCCGUCCCCUUUUCAAGAAUGUGACCUAUAACGAAUAAGUUAUUAGAACUUGUGUCCAAUCCUUUUUGCUACUUUUACUUUUUUGUGUACAGUACCUGGUGUUGUCAGUCUAUUUUCAUCUUAUGACUUUGAAUGUUCUUCUGGUAACGUUUGCCUCUCUUAUAUAAUAUACAAUUAUACAUUUUAAAAAUACAUAAAGUCUUAGACAAAUAUACCCACAAAAACAAUAUCAAUUCACUCAGAAGGACGCACUCGCUUGUUUAUAUCGUAUAAACUCUUAUUUGUAGACGACAUUAUUUCAUUAAAUAGUGUAAUACUGUUUGACCUUUAAUUAUUUUUUAACCUAUAAAUGCAUUUGAACAAUUGUAAAAAUAUAAUGGAACAUUCUUCUUCAAUGUCUACAUUGCAUAAUAAAUUACAUUUUCCCCCCUUUCAAUGUAGUACCAUCUUCAAGCUGUAAUGGUAUAUUAUCGUCAUUGAUCGUCAUUAUCAUGUCAUCUCCACUUCUGUAUUAAAAUAAUAUUUAAGACAUCUGAUAUCAUAAUUAGUUUUUACUUUCUGUUUUUUUUUUUGUGUUUACAUUAUGAGCCAAAGGUUAAUAAAUAAGUUGAUGAGGAACUCCAUCUCACGGUAUGUAACAGUAAAACAUAUAUUUUUGGUUGAUUGCCACAAGAUUUUUUUACCGUUAAAUGACAGAACAAUAGCGUGCUGUGUGUAACGUUUUUGACAUGCCUGAGUUAUUACGGAUGUUUUAGAAUAUACACGUGUAAGUAUAUUGUUGACAAUUCUACAGGUAGAUAUAGAUGUUUGACGCAAUUCAGGUAUGUUUAGAUUUCAGUUUAACUUUAACAUUUUUAACAUGUUUAAGAUACAUAUAUUUUGAUUAUUUGUAACAGGGUUAAAAAUUUCUAACGAACACAAAAAUAUAUAGUAACAUUACUGUUCUACAUCUGUAAUUGUACUUAAGUACUAAAAUAUGUAUGCUAUUUCAAGAAAAAAGGGUGUUCCCGUCAAGGUUUAGUUUUAAUAUGUCCUAAAAUAUAUUAUACCAUAAAAUUUGUAAUAUAUUAUCUUACUUUUAACCGGUUGUAGGCCGUGAGUUAUAAUUUGUUUGGUUAAAAAGGUCCCAAAAAUUAUGUCAUCUUUAUGAAUUACGUUUUACAUGUAUCAUAUGGUAUGAUUUAUUGCUCAAACUAUAUAUUAGCUGUUCAGUGUUCUCAUUUACAUUUCAAACUGUUAAAAUAAAUUGGCGUACAGAUUGGACUUGGGAUACAUCUUAACAUUCGAUUAUAACCCCUUUACUGUCAUAAUGAAAUCCUCUCACAGACAUAUUAAUGUCCGAACGAUUAAAAUUCUUAGGGAGAAUUACAACAUUUAAUGCGUUUUCUUUAUUACACUCUUACGAUGAAAUAUAAAUUACAUAUAACAUUUGUUCGAAAUACAAUUGAUUUUUUUUUUUAUUUAAUUACAUUGUAUUAUUAUAAAUUGCUUAAUAUCGCGUAACUUCUAUAUCGUAUCGAAAAGCCUAUACAAUAUCUUAUAAAAGAAGUUUUGUUUGAAGUCGUGCUACAGAAAGUUCCUAAACUCAAAACUCAAGACAAUAAUUUAUAUAUGCAUACAGAUAAAACACAGCGAUAAAGCUUUUAGAAUACGCAAUACCUAGUCAUGAUAAUUAUAAUCAUAUAAAUUUAAAUAAUUCGGGUUGGAUGCGUUGUCACGGAGAAAACAAACUCGCAACUUUUAACUGGAAGAUUACUAUCAAAAGAUCGGUUGUACUUAAGGCUUAAAGUUUGAUUACACUGAAACGGACUUAAAAUUUUGCAGAUAAAAGUAUAAAAUUCAUUUUGGACCACGUCAACAACAAGAUAAAACUAGACGACGCACCUGUUGUUUGUUGAUAGCUGAUUCCUGUUAGUAAAUAUUUAAUGGAAUAAAGGCAUUUUAUCAUUGAAUCAAUCGUGAGUAAACAUUUUUAUUCAAUUUUCCAUCUAAUCGUUCUUAUAUAUAAUACAUGUAUAUUAUGUCAUUAUCAAAUAUCUUAUUUUGCUUAUGUUUCCACCAGGUAUGUUCGAUCUCUUUAUGGGAUGCACUUUUAAACCUGUCUAGGUUCAUAUUAUAAAGAAUGGAUUUAAAAUUGUUCAUGUGUGAAUAUUUUAUACAUCAUUUAAGCAAGAAUAAUAAUUGAAAUAUAUUAUUACGCUAGCGCAUCAAAUAUCCUGACUUGAUCAAUAAGUGUUAUUUUAUAUUUUACAUAGGUUGCAUAUGGAGAAGAUAGAUUCUGGAUUAGAAUUUGACAUGCUUAUUACGUGAGUAAAUUUACAAAGACAAAUUCUCAUUGUAUAAUUUAUCAUUAGAUGUUGACGUUUACUACAUGUAUAUAAAUACAGGUAGAGUUUUUGUUACAUUUUUUUACAACACACUAUUUGUAUAUAGAGUGCUUGCUACAUAUGCAUUAAAUGUAAACUUAUCAGAGUUUAAAAAGUUUUUCUAUACACUUGACUAGACAUUUCACUAUAAAGAGCAACAAUUAAUGCAUAACUUUUCGAUGUAUAUGCAUCCCCUAUUUCAUUACUUUUGGCAUUUCGUUUUUCUCUUACAUUUAUUCAUUCGUAUUACAACGAGUUAACUGCAGCUGCUCAAAUAUUUAUUUCAACGCGGAAAAGGUAAUUAAAUUUUAUACCAAUUAUCAAAAAUAGGAUAUUAUAAUAUUCCUGUACCUAAAUAGGUUGUUGAUUUAGUAUGUCUUGACAUUGGACAUGUAACCUGUGACAAAUAGAUGUAAUAGUCCCAUGUGCUACUUUAUAAAUUAAUACAUUGGCAUUUUGUUAUCUAUUUAUAUCUUUACUGAUUAUAUGUACAGAUCUAAGAGACAAGAGCAAGGAAACACUUAUAUGAUUAAUAGAAAGGAAGGAAAACAAUAGAGAUAAUGACAAAAAUGUCAAUGAAGCGACAAACAAAGCGACAAAAUAAAUGUGAAAAACGAGUCGAAACCGAAAAUAAUUAAAUAAAUGAAAUCGAAUUUAUUAUAACGGGUUGACUGCUGCACAAAAUGUAAUUUCUAUCGGGAAAUAUUUAUACACUGACAACAUCAAGAACUUCUCUGAGAUUAAGCUUCAGAACCCCUAUCGCAGCAAUGCGUUUUGUUAGCAUUAAUCGGUUAACUUUUCGGAGUUUGAACAAGCAUAUCAAAGUGAGGAAAAAAAAAACCCGAGGGAAUUCAAAUGGAGCGAGACUGGGUGCAUCGACAGAAUAAACCGCAUAGGAAGGGCGACAACCGUGUUUUCAUAUUCAUUCAGAAGAAAAAGACUGUUUAAUAAAAUUUCUAACCGUUUUCCCUUUUAGUAUUUUUAGGAAAUAAGAUAGGUUUAAACUAAGCAAUGAACAAAAUAAGACACUUUAAUUCAAUACUACAUGUAUGCUACAUUUUUAUUCAUUCUCUUUUUAGGUAAAAUGGAUUAUGUUAAAUCAGCACUACAGAUAAUUCUGCUUGGUUUUUUCUUCUUUGUCUUAGCGUGGAUUUGUGUAUACGCAGACAAGUUGUUACUGGUAUUUCAGAGUUUUUAGUAUAGCUAUUUUGGUGGACCAAGAUUGUUCUAAAACAAGUUUUUUAGCAAUGUAAACAUUACAAUACACACAUCAAUAUGCAUAUGGAUAUCUCACUGAAUUGAUGCAGUCCACCAUUUUAGAAUCUUUCUAGCUUUUGGAUACGUGUGCAUGGACAGAUUGAAGUUUAACAUUCAAUUUGACUUAUUUUAUCUAAACUAAUAUCAUAUUUUUAAUUUAAUAUGUAUGAAAUGAAUGAAAACAUAGUUUAUUAAAU